AAUAGAUACCCAGGUAGUCCACGCCGUAAACGAUGAGUGCUAAGUGUUAGAGGGCUUCCACCCUUUAGUGCUGCAGCUAACGCAUUAAGCACUCCGCCUGGGGAGUACGGCCGCAAGGCUGAAACUCAAAGGAAUUGACGGGGGCCCGCACAAGCGGUGGAGCAUGUGGUUUAAUUCGAAGCAACGCGAAGAACCUUACCAGGUCUUGACAUCCUUCGCUACCUCUAGAGAUAGAGGGUUCCCCUUCGGGGGACGGAGUGACAGGUGGUGCAUGGUUGUCGUCAGCUCGUGUCGUGAGAUGUUGGGUUAAGUCCCGCAACGAGCGCAACCCUUGACCUUAGUUGCCAGCAUUCAGUUGGGCACUCUAAGGUGACUGCCGGUGACAAACCGGAGGAAGGUGGGGAUGACGUCAAAUCAUCAUGCCCCUUAUGACCUGGGCUACACACGUGCUACAAUGGAUGGUACAAAGGGUCGCGAAACCGCGAGGUGGAGCCAAUCCCAAAAAACCAUUCUCAGUUCGGAUUGCAGGCUGCAAC
This 536-nucleotide ribosomal RNA is filed under the name uncultured bacterium. RNAcentral's name for it is "bacterial SSU rRNA". It matches the Rfam family "Bacterial small subunit ribosomal RNA", at positions 777 to 1311 of the family's 1533-position model. The record is from RNAcentral.